UGGGGAAUAUUGGACAAUGGGGGCAACCCUGAUCCAGCAAUGCCGCGUGUGUGAAGAAGGUCUUCGGAUUGUAAAGCACUUUCGACGGGGACGAUGAUGACGGUACCCGUAGAAGAAGCCCCGGCUAACUUCGUGCCA
This 138-nucleotide ribosomal RNA is filed under the name uncultured bacterium. RNAcentral describes it as "partial 16S rRNA". It matches the Rfam family "Bacterial small subunit ribosomal RNA", at positions 355 to 510 of the family's 1533-position model. The record is from RNAcentral.